UACGUAGGGUGCAAGCGUUAAUCGGAAUUACUGGGCGUAAAGCGUGCGCAGGCGGCUUCGCAAGACAGAGGUGAAAUCCCCGGGCUCAACCUGGGAACUGCCUUUGUGACUGCGAGGCUUGAGUAUGGCAGAGGGGGAUGGAAUUCCGCGUGUAGCAGUGAAAUGCGUAGAUAUGCGGAGGAACACCGAUGGCGAAGGCAGUCCCCUGGGCCUGUACUGACGCUCAUGCACGAAAGCGUGGGGAGCAAACAGG
This 253-nucleotide ribosomal RNA is filed under the name uncultured bacterium. RNAcentral's name for it is "partial 16S ribosomal RNA". It matches the Rfam family "Bacterial small subunit ribosomal RNA", at positions 524 to 776 of the family's 1533-position model. The record is from RNAcentral.